RNAcentral lists this non-coding RNA (90 nucleotides) under Crystallibacter crystallopoietes. RNAcentral describes it as "Arthrobacter crystallopoietes SAM-I sequence". It matches the Rfam family "SAM riboswitch aptamer (S box leader)". From Rfam's summary of the family: The SAM riboswitch is found upstream of a number of genes which code for proteins involved in methionine or cysteine biosynthesis in Gram-positive bacteria. The SAM riboswitch acts at the level of transcription termination control. The record is from Rfam by way of RNAcentral. Lineage: Bacteria; Bacillati; Actinomycetota; Actinomycetes; Micrococcales; Micrococcaceae.
UAACCAUCCAGAGCGGCUGAGAGACCUGGCUCGUUGACGCCGCAGCAACCCCCUCUUUGAGGAAGGUGCUACCGCCAGGACCGAUGGAGA